CGGGAGAAGCGCGGGAGCCCGGGCGUACCGGGCUGAGAGGGUGGCUGGCCGGCUGCCGACCGUAAGAACCUGAUCCGGGUCAUGCCGGCGAAGGGAGACGCAGGAUGCCCAUC
Molecule: regulatory RNA element, 113 nt
Organism: Streptomyces sp. DvalAA-14
Lineage: Bacteria; Bacillati; Actinomycetota; Actinomycetes; Kitasatosporales; Streptomycetaceae
Rfam family: TPP riboswitch aptamer (THI element)
About the family: Vitamin B(1) in its active form thiamin pyrophosphate (TPP) is an essential coenzyme that is synthesised by coupling of pyrimidine and thiazole moieties in bacteria.
Source: Rfam